Molecule: long non-coding RNA, 3610 nt
Filed under: Homo sapiens (human)
Lineage: Eukaryota; Metazoa; Chordata; Mammalia; Primates; Hominidae
Description: HSALNT0154766
Source: RNAcentral
GAACAAUUUGCUGCUUUAAAGUCUUCAGGCUUCUUGCGAUACCCUUUGUUUCCAAAGCUCUGAAGCAGGCUUCUUUUGGGAAAGAUAAUAGGACCCACUCCUGCUUGGCAGAAGAGGUUCAUAUGCUGGCUUACUUAAAAUGUUUAGGAAGAAGCAUCAUCCAUCUGGGAAUUAUUUUGGAAGUUAUGACUGACUCUCCCAAUGAUAUUCUCAUUUGCUCCUCCCUAUAGCUCAGCCAGCUUUUUCACUCCUAAGUUUUGCAUAAGAAAACUGAGGCACUAAGACUAUGAGGGAGUAGACCCUGAUUCUGCAUCUGAUAAGGAGGAAACCUGGAUUUGAAAUUCUGACUUCUGCAACCAAGUCUGGGGCUUGUUCCUGAGGAUUGGCUCACCUGGUGUCACCAAGCCUGAGUUGCCAUCAGAAUUAAGCUUUCUUUGGGGAUAAGAUGUGUCCUCUCCUACUGACUCUCUAUGAAAAUGCAAAGUACCUGCCAAAGAUAACUUUGAUUGAACCUUUAUAUGUUGGUGUACACGAGUUGAUCAUGGAAUAAUAUGGAAAGGAUGCACCUUCCUCAAAGGCAUAUCUAUCCCAACUGCUUCCUUUCGUACCUGGAGAAACAGGCCCAGAAAAUGAGACCCAUGUUCCCAAGACCAUGCAGUAAGGCCUGGAGAAAGAAGUUCACAGUUGGAGUCAGCCGACUUCGAGACCACUGAGCAAGAGCACAGAAGGAAUCAUCAUCAGGCCACAGGCGGCUGUCACAUCAGGAGACCACCAACACCAGAGGGAUCUGGCAGAAUACAGGCAGGACCAAGGACUCCAACACGCUUACCCUGGCCUCCAAGGCUUUGUCACAGACCCAGCCCAACUCCCUAAUGGGUUUAAUUUCUCACCACUCUCUUCUGUCCUCAUUGCACUGCAGCCUUGCUGGUCUUCUAGUGACACCCACAUGCCCCAUCUUGGUGCCCCUAAUUACCUCCACCUGGAACACACUGUCCUCACCCAGAUAGGCACAGGAACAACUUCUCCACUGUACAUGUCUCUGUUCAAAUGCCACGCCCUCUGAAAGGCCCUAUCUGACACCCCUGCUGAUCUAAAUUAGCACCUCUGAUGCUUUUCCUUUGCUUAUUUGUCUUGAUAAUACUCACUACUGCAUAUUGCAGUGCACUUUCGUUUACUCUUUUUCUUACUUGUCUCCCUGUGGAAGACAAUCUCUAUGAAGUCAUUGUCUACCUUUUUCACCACUACAUCCCUACUUAGAAUACUACCUGGCAUGUAAACAGUGCUUAUUAAAUACUUGUGAAAUGAAGGGAUGAUUGGCGUCAAGUGGCAGAAACUGGUAUACAAUGCAGGGGCUUGAUCACAAGGGACAUUAAAAAACAAACAAACAAACAAAAACAAAAAAAAAACAGUUACUCUGGAACUAGGGUAAAAACGGAAACUAGAAUUAAGCCAAAGUAAUAGAAAGUCACCUUAUUGGCUGGCCUGAAGCUCCUUCCAUGGAUUUUGGUAGGAUCAAGCUGAGAGUGGGCCCUGUUUCCUUGGGAUUGGAGAUGGGUAGGUCUAAAGUGGGUGACUAGGAUUCUCCUUUGCUAUAUUUCUUGAAUCCAGUUCAUUUUCAUCUGAAAUAUUUGGGGAGUGGAGUGAGGACCUGCUGAGCCCAAAAUUGUGGUGUGAACCUCUAGUGCCAUAUCCAUCUAUUCCGAAACAGCCCUUACUUCUGGUUUUAGGGUCUGAUGGUAGGACCAGAGAUGGCCAUGAUCAUAAACAUUAGAGGAACUUGGAGCUAGCGCAACUGGCAGCAUCCCUCACCGUGUCAUUUUGCCCAGCCUGUGGUUUGCUAAGAGCCUGUCGGCCAGUUUGCCAUUCCUGUGGCAGGGCCAAUUAUCUCCAUAUCACAGCAACAAGCAUCCGGACCACAUACCUUGACAAGCGCCAUGGCUCAUUAGGACGAUUAUACACUUGGAGGCUGCCCCCAUCAGCGGCUCAAGUCUUUGAAAUGGACUGGAGCCAUCCUUAGCUUUCCAAGGUCCCCAUCCCAUGACUUCUGCCACUCCCAUCCCGCACAAACAAGGAACGAGGGUGUGAAAAUCUAUUUCAGUUGUAAAAUUGCCAGCAUGUAAUACUAAAAGAGCUCUGGAUUUGGUGAGCUGAGAAUAGAGAUCAGCUCUUCGCUUUGUUUCUGAUUUACUGCAGGACCUAAGGUGAAUUGUUGAAGAUCUCUGAGCUCAGUUCCUCCUCUGUAAAAUGAGGUCAAGGGUGCCUGCCUUACCUUCCAGAGUUGUUAGGAAGAUUAUUUAGGAAACCAUGUGUUCCUCUUGAGCAAUGGUUAUCAUUUGUGACCACUUGUGGGGAGGGAAGGGCAAGAGAGGUAAAUGGGCUACUAUUUGCCUUUUUGUUAGGAAUCCAGACUCAUGUUAUUACAUAACACUUUCAUCAUAAGAAUAAUGCCUGCUCGUUAUAGAGACUUGCAGAUUUAAAUCUCUGGGUAAAGCAAUUUAUACCAACUUUUAAAAAUAACAUUGGCCACAGAUCCAACUUUUCUCUUCAAGCCAUUUCUUUCCACUGCACCCCACCACAAGCCUUCAUUCUGGUGUUAAAUAGUCGAUAGGAUAAGAUUAUCAUACUACGAGGUGCAUAUUAAACAUGAUAUCUCUCCCAGUUAACAUAUGUGUGUUUUAAUACUUUUUUUUUGAAACAUUACCGAAGGAAUGGCACUAACACAGACUUUCAGGCACAAUGAUCUUAUAAUUAGGAAUUUAGGAAGGGUCAUCAUCUACAUUAUAUCCUUAUUCCUUGAAGUAAAUGCAGUUUCACAGAGGAUCAGCCCACAGAACUUUUCUUCCAUCUUUCUGCCACCACUAGCCUCAGAGUCUUCCGGUUUCUUUUUCUUUGUGUACCCACCACAACCAGGGGCCUGAUUGCAAAGGAAAAACAACAACAACAACAAAAAAGUUACUGGAAUAAGGCUAAAAGUGGAAACUGAGAUUAAGCCAAAGUAAUGGAAAGUCACUUUGUGGCUGGCCUGAAGCUCCUUCCAUGGAUUUCUCUAGGAUAUCAGGGUAGGGUCAAGCCUGCAGUGGGCCCAGAGAAUGCAAUGGAAAGCCAAACUCAGAGGACAGAAGACAGGCUGGGUUGCUUAUUAGCAGGUGAAGAAGAUUAUUAAAAUUGCAUGUUAAUUAUUUCCUCAAGUUUUCUUCAUCUGCUGAUUUCUAUUGUCUCCUGGCCUCUUGUUCAGAAAUGUAAUCUCAGACCCCACCAAUUCCGGAAGUAUACAUGGUGGGAUAGUUGCUGGCCUAGGAGGCGGAUAGCCUGGCUUUGAAGCCUGGCUCUGCCACUUUCUUGACCUUGUCAAAGUUAUUGACCCUCCAUCAUACCCUACCCCACACUUCCCAAGCUUUAGUUGCCUCACUGCACAAUGAGUAGGGUUGGGGAGGCAAUGUCUAAACCUUUUCCAGUACCAUGAUUCAAUACAUUCUCAAUUGAUUUCAUUUCAAUUAAUCUCGAUUCAAUCCAAUUUGCUAUAUUUCAAUUCAAUUAUUUCCAUUUAGUUUAGUAAUUCCAUUUCAUUCAGUUGAAGUCAAUUCAAAUAAACUAAAUUCCACUGACUCCA